GGGACAAUAAGGACCACGGGAAAUAAGCGGUUAUAAAGUCUCAGGGUAGUGAGCAAGUAAAGUUCGUGGUAACAGUGAACCAAAAGUAAAGUUUGUGGUAACAGCGAACCGAAAGUAAAGUUCACAGUAGCAGUGAACCGAAAGUAGCAAGACGCACGGUGAAUUUAGCUGUAGCAGCAUAGAAAGUUUUUGUCACGCGGACCUCACAGUCUCGUCCAAUUUUUCUGGCUCAAGAGCUGUUUGAGCGAAAGAAACUAAAAAUAAAAAGAAGCAUCACAGAGUUUUUUGAGUGAAUGUGAUGCCAUUGCACCCUGGUUCGCAGCCUCUGGAAAUCGCACGGUGGCGAGCUGGGACAAGUUAGGGAAAGACCUUAAUUUUGCCCGGGAACAGGGGACUCUAAGACCUGGGGUCCGUACAGUAUGGCGCUUAGUGGGUAGCUGCCUUGAGGAUCAGAAAUGUUGUCAGGCAGCUAUAGAGAGGGGGCAAGCUGCCCUAGAAAUGCUUCAAGAGGAGAGGUCAGAAAAGCAGGGAAGCGCAAAGGAGUCAGACUCAGAAAAAACAGAUACAGAGAAGGAAACAGACAAAACAGAUUCAGAAGAAGAGUUACAAGAGUUGAUAGAUCAAAUGCGGAAACAGUCUCUAAGGAAUAGACAGAAGAAGAAAAGGAAAAAGCCUAAAAUGGUGGAGGAACCUCCUGGGCGGUUCCCCUCAGCUCCUCCUCCCUGCAAUGUUGUAGAGGAAGGAAGUAGAGUUUCGGAUAGUACAUUCUGCCCAGAAGUGUGGAAGGCAGUCCUCACAGAACUACAUCUGGCCUAUCCUGUUUAUGUGGAUGCUAAUCAACAAAGGUUUCAUGAGUCUUUAGACUUUAAGGUGAUCAAGUCCCUGGCGGAAUCAGUCAGGACAUAUGGCAUUACGGCCUCAUUUACCGUAGCUCAGGUUGAGGCCUUACACAGAUUUUGCAUGACUCCUAGUGAUUGGACUAACCUUGCUCGGGCCUGUCUUAGUCCGCGACAGUAUUUGGACUGGAAAGCUUUUCUUAUUGAGUUUGCCAGUGAACAGGCUGCCGCUAAUUUGGCAGCGGGGGGCGGCCAGGCUGCCUGGGAUAGGGAUAUGCUGCUGGGUCAGGGACACUUUGCCAAUGCUCAGACAGGGUAUCCAGGACAGGUUCACCAGCAAAUUAAUGAAGUUGCAACAAAGGCAUGGAAAUCCUUACCUAAUAAGGGAGAAGUGAGUGGAAACCUCACCAAGAUCCUUCAAGGACCUAUGGAGUCAUUCUCUGACUUUGUAGCCCUAUUAGUAGAAGCAGCGGGGAAAGUCUUUGGAGACCCCAAUACUGCUAUGCCCUUGAUUAAACAGUUGGCCUAUGAACAGUGCACAAGGGAAUGCCGAGCCGCUAUCACUCCUUACAAGAACAAGGGACUUGAAGCUUGGAUGAAGGUCUGUAGAGAAAUAGGGGGACCUUUGACUACUGCUGGACUUGCAGCUGUUGCUAUGCAGAUGACGCAGAGAAAAGGAGGAAGCUCAGGAGCAUGUUUUAAAUAUGGUAAACAGGGGUACCUAAAAAGGCAAUGUCCAGAAAGGGGAAGUCUAGUUAGUACAGGAAGUGGCCAAUGCCCAAGGCAACCAGGGCUGUGCCCCAAGUGCAAAAAGGGGAAUCAUUGGGCUAAUGAGUGCCGCUCGGUAAAAGACAUCAAUGGGCAGACUCUCAGCUCGGGCUUUGGUGGAGCACGUCCAAAAAACGGACAGCGGGGCCCCCAACCCCAGGGCCCACAAAUAUAUGGGGCAGUCGAGAAUCAGAUGUAGAACAGAGUCACGAGAGAUGGCCGUCCCUUUGCCAUCCGAGGGGCCAAGGAGAGCCACUAAGGGCUCUGCAGGACUGGACCUCCGCUCCACCACCAGACUCGUACUAACUCCUCGGAUGGGGGUCGAGUUGAUAGAAACUGAUUUUAAAGGACCCCUUGAGCCUGGCACUGUAGGGUUACUUAUAGGGAGAUCAUCUACAGCUUUAAGAGGACUACAUGUCCAUCCAGGAGUUAUUGACCCAGAUUAUACCGGGGUUGUCAAGAUCAUGGUAGAAUCACCAAAAGGAAUUACUGCUAUUUCCUCUGGAGAUAGAAUAGCUCAGUUGUUACUUUUGCCUAGCCUUCAUGAAAGAUUUGCCGCCCAGUCUAGAGAGAGGGGAGAGAAGGGUUUUGGUUCCACAGGCUCCGAUCUUAUAUUUUAGCUUUGGGUUUAAACCAACGCCCAGUAAUGGAGCUAAGGAUAGAUGGUAAAAGGAUCCUAGGACUGUUGGAUACAGGGGCUGAUAGAAGUAUAAUAGCUAAGAAAGAUUGGCCCUCUGGAUGGCCAGUACAGGCCUCAUCUCAAACAUUACAAGGUCUCGGUUAUGCAAGAGCUCCUGAUAUGAGUACAAGACAAUUGAGUUGGAGAGAUCAAGAAGGGCAUUCAGGAGUUAUGUAACCCUAUGUGUUGGAUUUGCCCAUUUCCCUUUGGGGAAGGGAUCUGUUGAAAGACAUGGGUUUCAAAUUGAUCAAUGAUUAUUCUGAAACUUCACAAAAGAUUAUGAAAAAUAUGGGUUAUUUUCCUGGUAAAGGAAUAGGGAAAUACCUACAGGGUAGGACUAGCCCUAUAACUGCCCAACAGAGAGAAGGGAAUCAGGACCUGGGUUUUUCCUAGGGGCUGCUGAGGAAGGCAUUCCUGUUACCUGGAAAACAGAGGAGUCGGUGUGGUUCCUCAGUGGCUGCUUUCCUCUGAGAAGCUUGCCACAGCUAAAGACCUGGUAAAUGAACAGCUGGCUAUGAAGCAUAUAAAACCAUCAGUGUCACUUUGGAAUGUCCCAAUAUUUGUGAUUAAAAAGAAGUCAAGGAAAUGGAGACUGUUGCAUGAUUUACGAGUUAUUAAUCAACAGAUGCAAAUCAUGGGCCCAGUGCAACGCAGACUUCCUCUUUGAUCCUCUCUACCAGCCUGUUGGCCUGUUGUAGUGAUUGAUAUAAAAGAUUGCUUUUUCUCCAUACCUCUUUGUCAAAGGGAUAGUGAAAGAUUUGCUUUUACUGUUCCGUCAUGCAAUCAUGAAGAACCUGAUCAAAGAUAUGAAUGGGUGGUUUUACCACAAGGUAUGGCCAAUAGCCCUACUAUGUGUCAACUUUUUGUGGGCAACGCCAUCGCCCCAUUAAGACAGAAGUUUCCCGCAGUGAGAUGCAUACAUUUUAUGGAUGAUAUCCUUUUAACUGCAAAGAAUGAAGAGAUUUUAGAUUUAUCAUAUGGAGAUUUAGUUAAAUUGCUAGAAGGUAAAGGAUUGAUUAUUUCCCCUGAAAAGGUACAAAAGGGCAAUCUUGUAAAUUAUUUAGGAACAAAAGUAAGCCCUUAUAUCAUUAUCCCCCAAAAGGUUGAAUUGAGGAAAGAUAACCUUAAGACUCUUAAUGAUUUUCAAAAAUUAUUGGGAGAUAUUAAUUGGGUCAGAUGUUAUUUAAAAUUACCAAAUUAUGAAUUAAAACCAUUGUAUAAUAUUUUGGCUGAGAAUUUGGUCUUGGAUUCUCCUAGACAAUUGAGUGAUGAAGCAAGGGAAGCUUUAAAGAAGGUUGAAAAAGGAUUACAAGGCGCAAUGUUACAUCAGUGGAAGGAGGGUGCUGACAUUGUGCUAUGCAUUCUAGCCACCUACAUGCAGCCCACAGGAUUGUUGUGGCAAGAUGGCCCUCUGCUUUGGGUUUAUCCCAGAGCUUCUCCAGCUAGAUCAGUAGAGUAUUAUCCUACAGCAGUUGCACAAUUAGCCCUGAAUGGUAUUCAACAGUGCAUACAAUAUUUUGGUGUUUCCCCAACCUCGAUCAUACUGCCCUAUACAGGUCAGCAGAUGAAGAUCUUAUGUGGCACUGUGGAUGAUUGGGCUAUAUUACGCUGUGGAUUCCAUGGAGAGAUAGAUAGUCAUUAUCCAAAACACCCUCUGCUAUCCUUCUUUAAGGAACAUCCCGUGAUUUUUCCUAAGGUUACCUCCAGUGUUCCCAUACAGGGGGCCCCAAACAUUUUUACAGAUGGAUCCAAAAAUGGCUGUGGAGCCUAUAUGGUUGACCAUCAAGAGCCAAUUUUGUGUCAAUAUCAACCUGGCUCUCCACAAGUAAUUGAACUCAAAAUUGUGCUGGAAGUGUUUAAAAAUUGUUCUUUUGCCUUUAAUUUGCUCUCUGAUCCAUCAUAUGUUGUUAAUGCAGUUAAGAUACUAGAAGUGGCUGGCCCUAUUAAAAUUAGCAGCACGGUAUGCCAGCUGCUGAGGGAACUUCAGGAAUUGAUCUGGAAAAGAAGUCACAAGUUUUUUGUCCAACAUAUUAGAGCUCAUACAGAUUUGCCUGGUCCUCUCAGUGAGGGAAAUGAUCUUGUGGAUAGAUGUACCCGAAUGGAGUUUAUCUUCUUAAGCUCAUCAUUGGAUCAAGCCCGACAGUUUCAUCAACAAUUUCAUGUGCCCACCAAAACCUUACAGCAGAAGUUUCAUCUGUCUCGAGCAGUUGCUUGACAGAUAGUUUUAGGAUGUCAACAGUGUAUCACUUUCCAUCAUCCCCCUAGUGUGGGGGUUAAUCCCAGGGUCUUACUGCCUCUAAAGAUUUGGCAAAUGGAUGUAACUCACAUAUCUGGAUUUGUGACUCUAAAAUACAUUCAUGUUUCUGUGGAUACCUGCUCAGGUGUCAUUCAUGCUACCCCUAUGAGUGGGGAAAAGGCACACAAUGUUAUUGGACACUGGCUAGAAGCCUAGGCUGCUUGGGGAAAGCCUCAACACUUAAAAACUGAUAAUGGCCCAGCAUAUCAAAUCCUUUUGUAAACAGAUGGAUGUGCAGUUGAGCCAUGGUCUGCCUUAGAAUCCCCAAGGUCAAGGUAUUGUUGAGCGAGCACAUCGUACCUUGAAGGAAUGCUUAAUUAAACAAAAAUGGGGAAUAGGCCAUGGCAGAACUCCUAAGGAACAGAUAUCCUUAGCCCUUUUUACUCUUAAUUGUUUUAUUUUGGAUGAUGAUGGCCUUUCUGCCAAUGACCGACAUCAGUGUUGGGCGGGCAUAUUGAAAGGUUAUGUGAAGUGGAAAGAUGUGCUCACUGGCUUAUGGCAUGGGCCAGACCCUGUGUUGGCAUGGGCAAGAGGGUCUGUUUGUGUGUUUCCUCAGGACCGGCAAGAUCUGUUGUGGGUCCCUGAAAGAUUGACCAGGAGGUGCAACAAGAAUGAAGAUCCUGCUGUUGCUGACACUUCUCGGUGUGACCCAAAUGCUGGUAAAAACGGAGCCCCAGUGGGGGAUACUACUGGUGUUCCCGAGACUCAUGCCAAUAUGUCAUGACCUUUAAGCGCACUCCUCUAAUUUGUCUAAACAGUUGUCAAGUUACUUUUUAGGUAAUUGGUCUGGAGAAUUCGAUUUCUUAAUGGAUCAGCUACGUGUAGCCAUCAUGACCGUGAACUCCACAUGUGCAGAUGCUAGACUGGCUACGGGAUUGUCAUCUUGGAUUGCUGCUGCUAUGAAUCAUCUGACGGAGUGGGCAGGUAUGGGAGCCCUAGCUGGACUCUUGCUGCUGGUCUCCCUAGUGAGCCUGUGGUGUCUUUGUAGAAUGAGGUUUGUUCAGAGUGGCACGUGGCUAUGGUGGUACAGACAUUUACAGCCAUUGAAGCAGGACAGUCCCCUCAAGCCUGGCUUACGGCCAUUCAGAAGACCUAGUUGCACCUCGCCCCUGAGUAUAUGUGAGUGACCUUGCCCAGCGACGGGCAACUUCCCUUCUACCUAAGGCACGGAACCUUGUGGGCAACGAGGUGUCCUACGAUGGGUUUAAUGAAGGGAUGAUCCUAAGACAGGGGGGGUCGCCACACUCAGAGUGCCUUUGCCUGCUUGAUUAAUUAAACAAAAAGGGGGAACUGUAGAGAGCUGCAAAGUGCUGUGCCUCAAAGAUGGCGCUGGUUUCUGCCUUCCACCCUCCCAACGGUGAGCGCUCCUUGCAGUAAACAAGUCCUUAUUUGGCUAUGUCUGCCUGGCCCGCUAGCUUCCACAUAGUGACAGCCUAUCUACAUGACCCACGUGGCUUGCUAGGACUGGCCAGUGCUAGCUAUUUAAGUGUGGUGCAGGGCGUUCCCCCGGGAAAGAGAGCCAGGAGAGAGAGAGAGAGUCAGAAGGUUGUAUCAAGGUUCUUGAGUAAAACUGCUUGAAGAAGAUCUCCUGUGGUCAUGUCUUCCUUGCUGGUCGAGGUUGGGCGCGGCAGUGGAUGACUUCAUCGAACCUGAUACACUGAAACUAAUAGGAGAAAAAGUGGGGAAGUAUCUGGAAUACAUUGGCACUGAACAAAACAUCAAUGGCUUAUCUUCUAAGAUCAAGAAUCAACAAAUGGGAUCUCAUAAAACUGCAAGCUUUAAGGCAAAAGACACUGUCAUUAGGACAAAAUGGCAAGCAAUAAAUUGGGAAAAGAUCUUUACCAAUCCUAUAUUUGAUAGAGGGCAAAUAUACAGAACAUAAAAACAACUAAAGAAGUUAGAUUUAAAACAGGUAAACAACCCCUUUAAAAAACUGGGCACGGGGUUGGGGAUUUAGCUCAGCAGAAGAGCGCUUGCCUAGGGAGUGCAAGGCCCUGGGUUCGGUCCCCAGCUCUGGAAAAAAAUAGAAAAAAAAACUGGGCACAGAGCUAAACAAAACAUUCUCAGCUGGGAAAGAUGGAAUGGUCAAAAAGUACCUAAAGAAAUGUUCAACAUCCUUAGGAAUAAGGGAAAUGCAAAUCAAAACAACCCUGAGACGCCACCUCCAAAGACUCAGACUGGAUAAGAUAAAAAACUCAGGUAACAGUAAAUGCUACCAAGGAUGGGGAGAAAGGAACACUACUCCCUCCCUUGUUGGUGGGAUUGCAAACUGGGACAACCACUUUAGAAGCCAAUCUGGAGGUUCCUGAAUAAAUUGGACAUUGCACUACCUGAGAACUCAGCUAUACCUCUCCUGGGCAUAUACGCAAAAGAUGCCCCAACAUACAACAUAGACACAUGCUCCACUAUAUACAUAGCAGCCUAAUUUAUAAUAGCCAGAAGCUAGAUAGAACCCAGAUUCCCUUCAACAGAGGAAUGGAUUCAAAAAAAUGUGGUAUAUCUACACAACAGAUUACUACUCAGCAAUCAAAAACAAUGACUUCAUGAAAUUCAUAUGCAAAUGGAAUGAACUAGAACAUAUCAUCCUGAGUGAUAUAACCUAAUCACAAAAAAACACACUAGGUAUGCACUCAUUGAUAAAUGGAUAUUAGCCCAAAAGUUCUAAUUACCCAAGAUAAAAUCCACAGACUACAGAGAGCUCAAGAAGAAGGAUGACCAAAAUGGGGAUGUUCGCAUUCAUUGUUAAAAGUGGAAAAAAUAUCCAUAGGAGGGAAUAUGGAAGCAAAGAUUACAGCAACGACUGAAGGAAUGGACAUUCAGAGCCUGCCUCGCAUGUGGCCCAUAUAGAGCAACCAAAACUAGAUAAGAUUGAUGAACCUAAAAAGGCAAGCUGAAAGGGACCUGAUAUAGAUCUCUCCUGAGAGAUACAUACACAGCAUGUCCAAUACAGAGGUCAAUGUUAUCAGCAAUCCACUGUACUGAGAACAGAACCCCCUGGGUGGGAAUUAGAGGAAGGAUUGAAGGAGCUGAAGGAGCUUGUAACCCCAUAACAACAACUAUGCCAACCAACCAGAGCCUCCAGUGACUAAACCACUACUGAAAGACUAUACAUGGACUGACCCAGGGCUCCAACUGCAUAUAGAGCAGAGAAUAGGCUUGUGGAAUAGGAAGUCCUUGGUCCUGCUGAGAUUGAACGCCAAGUGCAUGGAAAUGUGGGGUGGGGGGCAGUAAGUGGGAUGGAUUGGGGGAACACCCUUAUGGGGAAGGGAUUGUGGAUGGGAGCUUAUGGACAGGAAACCGAGAAAAGGAGUAACAUUUGAAAUGUAAGUAAAAAAUAUUUCGAAUAAAAAUAUUACAAAAUCAAAAACAGGAAAAAAGACAACAAUGGGAAAUAUAGGACAGCACAGGUAAAUUGGUAGAAGACCUUAAAAAGGAAAGACAAAAAUCCCUUACAGAGUUACAGCAAAACACAACCAAACAGGUGAAGGAAUUGAACAAGACCUUCCAGGACCUAAAAAUGGAAAUAUGUCCCACGCUACGUCUCGCCAGCAGGAACGACGCGGCACAUACAGGAUCCUUCUGCAGAAAAGCUUUAAUGCGUCUUGAGAGGGAGAGCAUAAGCUUACAAUGCGGAGACGCCGAGUGAGGAAUAACCGUCCCUUAUAUAGGAAACUAUCCUCGCCUAGGACGUGUCACUCUCUGACUGGUCGCUGCCAAUUAUGCCAGAUGACGUACCAAAGCAUACGUGUCCCUUUGAGUAGGGACGUUACCAGGCGCCUGCGUAUUGCCCUUUUUACUAGGUGCGUUCUGCUGGAUGCCGGUGCCAUCUUAUAAUGGAGUAUGUGAGGACAGCUCCUCACAGAAAUAGAAACAGUAGGGAAAUCACAAAGAGAAAACCCUGGAUGUAGAAAACCUAGGAAAGAGUUCAGGACUCAUAGACUUAAGCAUCACAAACAGAAAACAAGAGAUGCAUGAGAAAAUCUCAGGGGCAGAAGACACCAUAGAAAACAUUAACUCAUUAGUCAAAGAAAAUGCAAAAAGCAAAAAGCUACAAACCAAAAACAUCCAGGAAAUCCAGGACACAUUGAGAAGCUGAAACCUAAGGAGAAUAGAUGUAGAAGAAAGCAAGUAUUCCCAAAGCAAGUAAAUAUCUUCAAAAAAAAAAAAAACUUCCCUAAACUAAUGAAAGAGAUGCCUGUGAACAUACAAAAGGCCUACAGAACUGCAAACAAAAUGAAGCAGAAAGGAAAUAAGUUACAUUACAUAAUAGUCAAAACACCAAAUAUACAAAAAAUAAAAAUAACAUUAAAAGCAGUAAGGGCAAAAUGUCUAGUAACAUAAAAAGGCAGACCUAUCAGAAUUUCACCAAAACUUCAACAAAGACUAUGAAAGCUAGAAGAUCCUGGAGAGAUGUCAAUUAGACCCUAAGAAACAAAAGUGCCAGCCCAGGCUACUAUAAUCAGCAAAACUCUCAAUUAACAUAGAUGGAGAAAUCAAGAUAUUCCAUGACAAAGCCAAAAUUACAUAAUACCUGUCCACAAAUCAAGCCCUACAAAUGAUAAUAGAUGGAAAACUCCAACACAAGGAGAGAAACUAGACUUUAAAAAAAAGCAAGAAUCUAAUCUUCCUGCAAUAAACCCAAAGAAGGAGAAUUACAGAGAUAACUCCAUCUUUAGAAAAAAGUAACAGGAAACAAAAUCACUACUGCUUAUUACCUCUUUUUUUAUUGGAUCUUUUUUCUUUACAUUUCAACUGUUAUUCCCUUUCCCGGUUUCCUGUCAGAAAGCCCCCAAUCCCACCCCCUUUCCCCUUCUUCUAAGUGAGUGUUCCCGCUCCCCAUUGACCCUCCCGGCCCACCCUGAAAUUCCUCAACAUUGGGCAACAGCAUAGGCAGGACAAAGGACUUCCCCAGUUGGUGCUCAACAAGGCCAAUCUCUGCUAAAUAAGCAGCUGAAGCCAUCGGUCUCUCCUCCCUUUUUGCGACUUGUUUGGUCUCUGGGAGCUCUGGUUGGUGGGUAUUGUUGUUCUUAUGGGAUUGGAAGGCCUCAACUCCUUCAAUCCUUUCUCUAACUCCUCCAAUGGGAACCCCAUUCUCAUUUCAAUGGUUUACUCCUAAUUUUGCCUCUGUGUGUGUCACACUCUGGCUGAGCCUCUCAGAAGACAGCUAUUUCAGGCUCCUGUCCGCAUGCCCUCUUUGUUUCUUCAACAUUGUCUAGGUUUGGUGACUCUGUUUGUGUGUGUGUGUGUGUGUGUGUGUGUGUGUGUGUGUUUAUGGACGGGAUCCUUAGUUGGAGCAUGCUCUGAAUAGCCAUUCCAAUACGUUUCUGCUCCAAACUUUGUCUCCAUAUCUCCUCCUAGGAAUAUUUUUAUUCCUGCUUUCAAGACUGACUGAAAAAUUUGCACUUUGGUUGUCCUUCUUGAGCUUCAUGUGAUCUGUGGAUUGUAUCUUGGGUAAUACAAACUUUAGGGCUAAUAUCCACUUCUCAGUGACUCCAAACCUUGUGUGUUUUUCUGAUUGUAUUACCUCACUGAGAAUGAUAUUUUCCAUCCAUUUGCCUGAGUUUCAUGAAGUCAUUUAUUUUGAUAGCUGAGUAGUACUCCAUUGUGUAGAUGUAUCACAUUUUUUUAAUUUGUUCCUCUGUUAAAGGGCAUCUGGGUUCUUUUCAGCUUCUGGCUAUAAUGAAUAAGAUGGCUAUGAACAGAUUGGAGCAAGUAUGUUCUGUUCAGCCUAUUUUCCCCAGUGCCCAUCUGUUCGAGGCUAUGCCUCAAAUUUUCUUCUAUUAAUUUGAAUAUACCUGGUUUUAUGUGAAGGUACUUGAUCCACUUGGACUUAACUUUUAUACAGGCUGAUAAGAAUGGAUUGAUCUUUCUAAUUCCUCUAAUUAGAGCAAAAUUGACAAAAAUAGAAAAAAGACUGAGGGAAAGUUGGUCGAUUGACCAUCCUAUCUUGGGAUACAUCUCAUGGGGAGGCACCAAGGACUGACACUAUUACUAAUGCUAUGUUGUGCUUAAAGACAGGAGCCUAGCUUGCUGUCCUCUGAAUGGCCUAAACAUCAGCUGAAUGAAAAAGAUGCAAAUACUAUACCCGACAAAUCGAUUGAAGUCAAGGAUGGCUAUAGUUGAAUUAGGGAAAGGUUGGAAGAAGCUGAGGAGGAGGGCAACCCAAUAGGAAGAACAGCAGUCUCAACUAACCCAGGCACCUAAGAUCACUCAGACACUGAGCCAACAACCAGGCAGCUUACAGGAGCUGGUCAGAGGCCCUGGACAUAUACAUAGCAGAAUACUGCCUGGUCUGGCCUCAGAGGGAAAUGUGCCUAAUCCUCAAGAGACUUGAAGCUCUAGGAACAGUGGAGACUGGGUUGGGAAGGGGCACAAUCUUCUUGGAGAUAUCUUUAAGAAAAGUAAAAUCCAAAGACCUUGCAAAAUGAAAAGACAUACAUUAAUUACAAGUCAAUAAAAGAAAUCUAGAGUCAAUAACUAAAUAACUAAAAUAAGAUUAAAUUGAACAAUUCCAAGCAAGUGCCUUAUAACUACACUUUGAAACACAUCGACUAAAAGGAGGAAACUGAGUAAAAUUACAGUCUUCAACCAGGUACAUAUCGAUCUCAGUCAUAGAAUAUAGACUGUACGCAGUGAGACUGGGCCAACAUCCUCAUAAGGAAUGGUACUGAGGCGUGUCUGGAAACCUUGCUUUUGUAAGGGACCACAAAGAUAAAUCAGUUACCUCCAGCAUUCACAAAGCUCCAGAUUUCACACAGUUACUGCAAAAUUAUAAAACAUAUAUCAUUAUCCAUAAUAAAUACUCUAAACUCUUUAGAGAAUGCCAGUUCAAUACUAUCAGUUUCUUUUGGCCAUUGGUUUUGCCAUGGAUGAAGUCAAAAGGAACCUAUCUUCUACCAAAUGUUUCUCUAAUACUUCCCUAUUUACUGUGGAGAAGUGUGAACAUCACACAGAAUCAUAAAUAAUAUUGCAAAAAACAGGGGAUGGUUUUCCUAAGUAUGCCUGAGAAGAAAAAAUCAUGUGUUUACUACCACAGGCCCCACUUAGGAAAUUUUUUGAUUGCGAGAACAUUCCUUCAGCGCAACAAACCUUAGCAGAUGAGAUUGUGUGUCGUAGUCCCAUGUCUGCUUUUAGGAACAUUCCCAGACCCUAAUAAGCAGGAGAGUGGCUUCACAUUUAAGGCAAUCCAAUCUAUAUAUGUCAAGAAUAAUUAUUCAGAUAUAGAGUAACAUUUAUAUGUAUCAAAUACAGAUGAAGCAAAGAAGUAUUUAGAAGUUUUAUUUUCCAAAUCAUUCAAACAAAAGUAGGUUUUACAAGUUCUUAGAAGUAUAGUAUACUAACAGGGUGCAAUUGUCAUUCCUCUAAUGUUAAACUGGUACUUAGCACACUUUAAGUCUUGGACAGAAAUUGGGCCUAUUCUCUAUCUCAUCUUGCUAUUUAUAUACUACAUUCUCUAGCUUACCAACAGAUGUAUCCAUUCUAUCCAGGGUGACUGUGAACAAUUUUCCUAUGUGUAUCAGAUGCUGCCCAAGGACACAGCCUUGUCCUGGGCCAUAGUCUCUUUGAAACUAGAUUUUGCUUAACAUAUAAGAAACUGGAGUCUGAUAAUGUUAUCAUUCCUACAAGACUCUGCCCAACAGUUUCCUGGUAGGCCUGACUUUCUAUAAAAGGGGUUGUUUGGCUCCUCAUUUCUCUCUCUGCACACACACCCCUUCUCUCUGUCUUUCUGUCUUUACUCUCUUCUCAACUCCCCUUCCAAUGCCUUAAAUAAACUAUGUACUGCACUAUACCAUUGAAUGGUUGGUAUCUCAGGGUAUGGGGGGAAGACAGAAGCCCCAGCAUGGGCCUGCUGAGGCACCACCUCCCACAAUACCAUAGAGUAAACAAAACAUAUCCUAGCUCCUUUUUAAAAACACAACUAAGCUUUUGUGAGCAUGAUUACAAUCAACUGACUGUUAUAUGUCACAAGAGUUUAAAUGUAUUACAAAAAAUGUUAACAGUGUCAGCAAAUGCUGUUUCACAGACCAUAUUUUGGUUAUGCACUCUAGAACAUGGAUAUUUCUGGAUUUUCAGAAAAUCAGCAUCAAUACUUCACAGUGGGAUGACAACACAAUUAAGAGAGAGUUUAACCUUGACUCUCUGAGGGUAUUUGCACACCAUUAUAGAAAGAUACAUUUCUGGUUUUAAAAUUAUUGUUCUAAUAUUGAAUCCUCCACAUACCAAGACUUUUUCUGGUGAAUGGGUAGACAUAUUUGAAAUGUAAUUCCUUGAGACCUAACUGUAAAGCAUUUAAAACUGCUCAUCCAAUGCCUUGCUGGAAUAGCUGAUGUCCUGCACUUGACUGCUCCUAGGUUCCUUUGUCCAGAGGGCACUGGGAAGUUUCCUCUUUGGCUAGAAAUGUGAGCAGAAUUGUCGGUCUCCCCUGAGUUUUCAGGACUGUCCACACUUCUGAGAGUCCAGCUCUCUUCCUGACAGGUUUUGGGUACAGAGAGCAGUGGGAAAAGUUCAGCCCGAGCACAGGCAAAAACCAGUCUCAGAACAUUUUUUAAGACAAUAAUGUAUAAAGGAGAAGUGAGAUAGGGUUUCUACAACCUAUUUCUCAAUAAAGGAAUCUGGAAUAUUCUAUUGUAUAUACUGUUAAGAUUAUCCUAUUUUAUGUUACUAAUUUUUUAUGUAAGAACAAUACUGGGAGAAAGUAUAAUUUUGUCAGUAUUAUUUGACUGUGCAUAUAUCUCACAUACUCAUAUACAUAUUCAUUGAAUUCUAUUACUUUCAUUUUAGGAUACUGUAAAAUUAUUCAUAGCUCAACUUUGAUGCCUAAUCUCCUAUUUUUGUAUUGCUUCUGUAAUUCCUUUAGAUCCUAUUUCUUUCAUUGUCAAUUUUCCCAUUUUCUAAUAGACUAUAAGCAAGACUUUGAGAAACAAUUUGCUUAGUAUCCCUGCAGAGUAUUAAUGUAUGUCUAUAUGGUCUUCCCAUUGAUAUCCUCCUGCUGUCUGCAUUCACAUAAUUAUUCAAUGGUUUCAUUUGCAACAAUUUAAAUUGAUUUUGAAUCUGUUUUUAUUCUUCCGAAGGUAUAUGAAUUCUUGGAGUUUUCUCAAAUUUUCAUAUUUCUUCAUCAUUACUUUGGUCAAUUUGAAGAAACUGCCCACUACUCUUGAAACAAAUUGUUGACAAUUUGUAGGAAAAAGAAAAAUCUCGGGUUGGGGAUUUAGCUCAGCGAUAGAGCACUUGCCUAGCGAGCGCAAGGCCCUGGGUUCGAUCCCCAGCUCCGAAAAAAGAAAAAAAAGAAAAAGAAAAAAAAAGAAAAAUCUCACAAAACAUGAUUCCAUAUUUAAAUGAGAAUUUCUUAGCUAUUUCUCAGCACUGAUAUGUUUUAUAUAUAUAUAUACAUAUGCAUAUAUAUGUACAUAUAUAUAUUUCUGUUUUCUGUUACUUUUUCUAUGUAUAUAAUCUGUGAGUAAUUAUUCAUUAUUGCAAGAAUGUGUAAUAAUUGAAUACAAAAUACUAUAUUACCUUUGUGAUAUACUUGAAAUUUAUGUGAAUUACUUUGCUUGUUUGGCAUCUGAAGAAGCUGUCUGCUUGCUUAGAUGGUGACUGAAAAAAGUUGCAUUUCUACUUAUACUAAUGUCUAAGUUCUUUCUGUUCAGUUUCCUCCAGGAUUUCUCAUUUUAAGUAUAGUUAGUGUGGAAAGUCACAAGGCAGAUAGAAAAUCUUGGUGAAGAUUGUUGGAGGUGGGUCUGGUUCACUCUUUAUUCAGAUGCUGAUUUCUGUGCCCAUAGAUCUCCUUACAGUACAGCAUUUUCAUGAUUUUUGAACCAUCUCCCAAAUCAAUGUUGUAAAAAAAUGUUCCCAAUUAUUUCUGAUUGAUUAAGAAAGAGCUUAUCAGACUAUGUCUAGGCCGAAGAGAAAGGAAGGCUGAACUUCCAGUCCAAGCCAUGGCUCUCAGUGAGAGAGGUAGUAUUGAAAGAACCACAAAUGAGGAAGUUGUGGAGGAACAGGGGAAGAAAACAGGAGGAUUUAGACUGAGGUCAUGGUGAGACAGAAGGAAUCAGCAUGACUUAAGACCAUGUUCAAAUUAAAGGUAAAGGACCAUAUAGUUGGGGAAAAGCAGAUUUAGAGGCUUAGAAUAGCUCAGAACAUAUCAGCUUAGGCUUGCAGGUUGUAAGUAAAAAUGUCUCUGUGACAGUUUUUGUUUUGUUUUGUUUUGUUUGUUUUUGUUUUUUUUUUUUAUUAACUUGAGUAUUUCUUAUUUACAUUUCGAGUGUUAUUCCCUUUCCCGGUUUCUGGGCCAACAUCCCCCUAACCCCUCCCACUCCCCUUCUUUAUGGGUGUUCCCCUCCCCAUCCUCCACCAUUGCCGCCCUCCCCCCAACAAUCACGUUCACUGUGCGUUCAGUCUUAGUAGGACCAAGGGCUUCCCCUUACACUGGUGAUAUUACUAGGAUAUUCAAUGCUAUCUAUGAGGUCAGAGUCCAGGGUCAAUCCAUGUAUAGUUUUUAGGUAGUGACUUAGUCCCUGGGAGCUCUGGUUGCUUGGCAUUGUUGUUCAUAUGGGGUCUCGAGCCCCUUCAAGCUCUUCCAGUUCUUUCUCUGAUUCCUUCAACGGGGGUCCUGUUCUCAGUUCAGUAGUUUGCUGCUGGCAUUCGCCUCUGUAUUUGCUGUAUUCUGGCUAUGUCUCUCAGGAGAGAUCUACAUCCGGCUCCUGUCUGCCUGCACUUCUUUGCUUCAUCCACCUUAUCUAAUUGGGUGGCUGUAUAUGUAUGGGCCACAUGUGGGGCAGGCUCUGAAUGGGUGUUCCUUCUCUCUGUUUUAAUCUUUGCCUCUCUAUUCCCUGCCAAGGUUAUUCUUGUUCCCCUUUUUAAAAAAGGAGUGAAGCAUUCUGUGCCAGUUAUUUAAGAGCUAGACUAAGAACAGGUAAGGCUUGUACCCUUACAUUAUUGACUUCAAAAAAAUUGUUAGGUGUUUGUUUAAAACUAGUGGUGUAUAGCAUGGAAAGAGAAGCUCUGAGUGGCAGGGAUAUUCUUGACUUUAAAGGAAGAAAAAUUUAAAGUCCUCAUAUAAAAGGGACUCAGAAAGAGCCUCAUAUUGAUCUAGCCAUUGCAAUUCCUUAAUCUUUGGUAUGAAGAGUGAUAUAAAUGUUUUUUAUCAUUGAGGGAUAUAGUAUAUUUUAUCAUUGAGGGAUAUAAUAUUAUUUAAUAUGUCACUUCACCCAUUAUUGUUUUGUUAUAUCUCCACAUAAUAGCAAGAAGAUUUCCUGAUGGAACCUGAGUAUAACACUGUACUUGACUGCAAGCGACUAUUUUCUAGGAAGUUUGCCUUCAGGACCUUUUAGGAAAAGUACAGUACUCUAUUCCCUCAUAGUUUACAUGGCUUACCCUACUACAAGUUAUUGACAUAUUUUCAGCACGUGACUUAAAUUCUCUCUUUUAAAAGGAGGCUCAAAUUCUAUCCUGAAAUGGUUAAACAUAAUUGUAUCAUGUCUAUUGUUUUCAUAGUGCUCAUUGAUCAAGGAAACUUAAAAAGCAUUUAUACUGGUUAUUGGUUCUAAAGGGCUAAGAUUCUAUCAUGGGAGGGAAGACUGACAGCAAGUAGUCAUAUUGGUGGAAUAAAAAACUGAAAGAUUGCAUUCUCAGUAUGAGUCACAAGCAAGCUGUCUUGGGGCCUUUUCCCCUCAGAACCUGCCCUGGUGAAGCACUUCUCCAGUGAUUCUUUACCAACAAAUUUGCCCCGAAUAUUAUGACCUCUGAUAGACUUAGAUGUCAAAUACACCACCCUAUGGGGUGCAUUGUCAUCAAACCACAAAUCAGCCUACUAAGAUUUAUACUACCAAGGCUGUUCUUUUUCUUGCAUCCAAGGAAGAUAGAGGGAUUUCUGCAGAGGGGCGAGGAAAAUACAACCACAAAACUGUAUAGGUUCUGGAAAUUCCCAUUAUAUUCACUUUCUCAUUAUGGUGCAAAACGUCUGAUUACUCACUGAAAAUUUUCCACAGCCCCUCCAACCUUGGUAUAAUAUUUCACCUGCCAUAUCAGGUAACCUGAUACGUAUGUAAGUCCUGGUAAGCGUGAGCAUUUGUACACAUAUUUUAUCACUAACCUGUACCAGGCAAUCUCCUUUGUUCCUGAGCUCUCAGGCCCUUGCUGAGAACUCUUUGUAAAUGAGUCCCAUGAGGAACGAGUGCAGACUUGUUUGAGUAACUCAGAAAGGAUACUUAUUGAGGCCCACAGUAAUGUUUUAAACAAUACUUUUGCUAAGUGUAUCUAUAGUCAUUAACUUUUUAAUCAGAGAAAUGUACCCUAUGACAUAAAAUACUGCAUUCACUUGUAUUUAUUCAUUUUUUUGUUUUUUAAGAUAUAGCCUUAUUGUGUAAUUCUAUCUAUUAUGGAAAUCACUAUAUAGGACACACUGUGAUGAAAAACUCACAGAUAUCCACCUGCCUCUGCCCCUUAGUUGCUGUGAUUGAAGGUUAGUGUCACCACAUUAAGAUUUAUAUGUUGACAAGUCUGUUCUCUCAACCCUUGUUCCCACAGAAUUUGAAUACUGGAGAUCUGUCAGGAGAUGUCUUUUUGCAGUCCUCCAGGGCUUUGACUCCUUGGGGCGUCCCCAAGUUCAACCCACAAUGACUGUGCUUAAAGUUUUAUUUCACCUUUAACUCUGUCCAGGCCAGGCACUUCCUCUAACCUUAACCCCUAUUUUUCAUUCUAUAUCUUGACCUAUCUCUCCCACUCUGUCUCUGGCCGUCAUUCACAUAGCUGUCAAGAUGCUCUGGACCUGCUCUACACAAUCACAGCUACCCCACAAGCAUGCUACCUGCUUAGAACAAGCUUGAUCUAUGAGGAUGCUGUACCCCACUACUUAGCCUCCAAUCCUAAAUUCUUAGCCUUUAAGUAUUACAUCUCACAAUGAGAAUAAAGUCUCCUGAGUUACACCACACAGCAAAAGACAAGGGACUGCCUGGAAGCAAAUCAAGUGGAAAACAUUGGUAGAAUAUCCCUACUCUAAAUCAAUAAUGUAAUCCUAGUGCACUCUAUAUAAUGCAGUUGGGAUAAAAAUCAAUUUACGCACCAUAAAACAUAAUUGGAAGAUUAUUCAAGGAAGUCGAGGGACAUAAAGAUGAAGUCAGCUCUUGAAUUCAAGGAGGAUAGGAACAAACUUGUUGAAGGACAAGAGAACAGCAGAAAAUGGUUGAAGAAAAUGAAAAUAAUGCAAGAUGCUAACAGAGAUAGAAAUCUAAGGAAUCCUCGACCCUGAAAUGAAAAAAGAAAUUAAGAACUCUGUAAGUAACUCGAUAGAGAGCCUGUCUACCAUGAUAUAGAAGAGAGAAGACAAACAUCAGAGUUCCAAUACAAGCCUAGAGGACUUAACCAAGAAAUCAUAGGCAAAAAAAAUGGAACAAAAUUCUUGCUGCAUACUUGCAGCAAUAUUAAACUCAAAAGUAUAAUUAAAGCCAAACACAGUAGGGUAGGUGUUUCAUCCUAUCUCUCAGGACAGAGAGGCAAGCAGGUCUAUGUGGAUUGGAAGCCAGCCUGGUCUCCAUAUAAGCUUAUGGUCCAGUAGGACUGCAGAGUGAGACUCUGUUUCAGAAAUAAAAAACCAAAAUGAGAAAUUAAAGAUAUAUUUUCUUCAAUGACAUUAAAGUUCUCUAAACUGUGGCUUCUGGCACAAAUAGAGCAUGGGUAGUAAAAGAAGGAUAUGUUGGUUUAAAUAAGAAUGUCUCUCAUUGGUUUAUGUAUUUGAAGUUACCUUUCCAUGUUUUAGGAAAUUGAGUUAUUAGGACAUUGUUGAAUAAAGUAUGACAAUGGGAUUGAGGAAAAAAAAGUAUCCAGAUUCCACUUAGUUUUUUCUUUCCCUCCUUACUUAACUGUGGCUGAGGACAUAGCCUCUUAGCUUUCUAUCUCACCAACAUGGCAACUUGCUGUUAGGCUAUAAGGCCUCCCUACCAUGGUGGAUUCUUAUCCUUUGGAAGCAAUCCCCAAAGUAACCUCUUUCUUCUACAGGUUGCCUCGGUCAUGCUGCUUUAUGAAAGCAGCAGACAAAAAAACCCUUAUAGUUAAUAAUUAUCUAAUUGGACUCAAGGUACCCUUUCAGAAAGAGAAUUCAUGUCAUGUUCUGGAACCUAAUGAUGACCAGUUAGUAUGAUGUGUCCUGAGCAUUAGGGAGUCAAGGGGCAGAGGGCCUUGCCAGGAAACUUAGUAAGGUAGAGAUGGUCUGAGUCCCCAGAAAUUUGGGGUACACACUUGAGAAGGUAGGUGGUUCCCUGCUUCCUGACAGGAGACUAUUAAGAAACAACAGGAGAGGUGCUAGAGAGAUAGCUCAGUGGAUAAGCGCAUUGAGUGUUCUUCCAGAGGUCCUGAAUUCAAUUCCUAGGAACCACACAGUAUCUCAUAACCAUCAGUAAUGGAAUCCUAUGUCCUCUUAAUCGUGAGUCUGAAAACAGGUACAGAAUACUUAUAAAUAUGUAAUAUAUAAAUCUUUAAAAAAAGAAACAAUAAGAGAAACCAAUGGGACGACCAUAUAAAUGGUUUAAUAUUCUGCAGAGGUACUAAAGAAUUCUUAUCAAAGCCUACUGUCAUUAUAUCAGGAAGUGGGAAAAUUGACCACAAAAUGAAAAGAAUAUAAAGAAACAACUGAAGCUUUCAAAGUUUAAAGACUAUGAAACAAACAUUAUCCAGUACUUUUCCUAAUUUCACAGUAUGCUUAAAUGCAUUAAAGAAAUUUAUAUAACAUUGAUAUGAACCCCCAAAAUGAUACAAACAGAGUAAGGAUGUCACACAUGCAGAAAUAAAUUAUAUUUUGUUCUAAUAAUAUGAAAUAGGAAGUCACUAAUGUGCAAAACAGGCUAAUCAUGACGUGAUUUACAGUAGAAUAGUUCAGAACCAUUUCUAAAGGAUCAGAAUGUGGAUAAAACCAAUCUCAUGCAUCAUUUAUAUUUCUUUUAAAUCUUUAGUAUGUUUUUAUUUUAGCUUAUGGGCAGUAGUGCUCUGCAUCAUGUAUAUAUGUACUCUCUUUGUGCAGGAUUCCUGCUGAGGUCCAAAGAAGAUAUCAGAUCUCCUGGAGCUGAAGGGACACAUAGUUUAGAGACAACUAAGGGAUGCUAAGAACUGCAUACAAGUCUAUUUAAGAUAAGCAAGUACUACUCACCACUGGGGCAUCUCUUCAAUGCUCCUCCUAUCCCAUUUCCACUGUCCCUGGAACUCCUCACUAAUCUUAUCCAAUUCCUCCAAAUGAUACAUGGUCCUUUUGCUACAGUUUUUCUCUCUACUUUACAGGAUUUUUUGCUUUUGUUGAUAGAAGAAGCAUGUUUGGCUUAUCAGUUAGAAAACAAUAUAAGGAAAGCAUUCUUCAGAAUUAAUUAGAAUUUCUAAUACAUUACAGUGCCAGUAGAGAAAGGGGAAUCUACAAAUGAAUCUCCAAAAGCUGUAUAGUAGAAGAAUAAUGAAAGUGUUCUGUAAGCAUUUUCAGUUAGCUUUGACUUGAGUUCUACCACUUCCAAUUACAGAUCAAGCAAUCUUGGCAAGCUGAAAUGGAACUCAAUGAUGAGAAUGACAAUAAUUAAAACUUCUGAACUUCUUAAUCUAUGAUGGAAGGAAGCUUUAUACCUCCCAAAAGGAUGAACAGGAAGAACACAAUGAAUGUUUUUCCCUCUGAGGAUUUCUCUGUGACAGGAUUAGUGAAGUGGAUCUUUCUCAAAGAGGAACCCAGCUGAAAGACAGGCAACAUACUAUAGAGUAUAUGUUCUUGCUUAAGAGAGAGGGAAGAACUGGAAAUUAUGAGACCUGAAAGCCAGUGAAUUUAUAUAGACCAUAUUUUGAAGUUCACAGCACUUUUAUAUCGAUUCUUGAUGCAGCUUCAGUACAUAAAUGGGGACACAUGGAGAAAAUUUACGAAAAUAACUGAGUAUCUAUAUGAAAGUUCUGCACAGGCCCUUUUACUGGUAGAAUCAAGAAGAUACAGCCUGUUUCUGAGUUUCCAUCCUUGUCUCUAUUCUGCUUUAUUCUCCAAGAGCAGGUGGGAUAAUUGAAACCAGCCACAUGAAGUAGAAUGUGCAAGAGCAAGAAGAAUAAAAUCAAAGUGAACAUAGUUUUCCUUCCCUGAGCCUGGGCAGAAUGGUUUGUGAAGUGGCACACAGAUUAGCAAAUCAGAUACCCAUAUAUCCCCAUGUACUUUUAUCACUGUGGCCAAGGGAGAUGCUACAUCUGCAUUUCUGUUUCCUUUUUUAGAGCUGUUUCCUCACCCCUGGAGCAAUCUUUGAUACUAUCUCCUGGGGAUGUUCAUCUGAUGUCCACUGUUCAUGUGAUAAACUUAGUUGAUAAAUAUAGAUGAGGGAGUUGUAGCUACAUGAAUGACAUCACACGUUUUUCCCAGGAAAUUUAAGUCCCUGGAAAGAUUCCACUUUGUGAAAUUUGGUCUCAGGAUUGCCUCAAAUUCUGUUUAUGUGAACACUUGAAAUAAUUAUCAGUGGAUUUUUGUAGUUGAUCCACUUUCAGGAAGGACUCAUAGAGUCUGAGGUCAUGGUUAUACACUGAACAUUGUGUCACAAAUCUCAUGUCAGGGAAAAGCAGCCUCAUGUUUAGAGCAUUGUGAUCCAUUGAGAAUAUAUUAUGGGCAACAUACAGCAUUGUCACGUACAGAAUAUCUAAACAAAAACUAUGCUUACGUUGUCUUGGGAAUUAAAACAUCAUGGCAAAUCCAGAAAUGUCCUGAAUAAUAGUAAAUGUUGCUUUUAAAAUACUUAAGAAUCUCCAUAGAAGUCUCUACUUAAACUUUUGUUCCUCAUUUCAAAUACUACAUAAGACCGAGCACUCUUGUUUCCCCAUUAUUUUUAAAGAAAAACUAAGCUUAAUAUUUGAGUUCUAAAACAUGAUUUCCCAUUUGACCCUCAGUUCUCACAGAUGAAUACCUCAUUUUGACAAGUUUCUUCUACUUUAUCACUUAUUUUCUCCAUUGAUUUUGCUAAUUUUACAUUCCAGUAGUCACCAUGAAGAAGUCUUACAAUUAGUGUUUUAGAAGAAAAUAGUAAGUGGCAAGUAAACUUUGUUUAAUGAGUAAACUCUUCUUAUACAGUUUUCAUAGCCAAGUGGGAGAGUAUACUGAUAAUUGUGGUCUGAUGAGUGUUUCCGGAUAUAGGCUGCAGAGCAAGCAGCCCAAAUAUAGGCAAUUCUUUCUUCUAUGUUGUGACAUGUAUUAUUUAGCAUUUAUGAUGAGGCAGAGUUUGUUUCCUUUCUAGAUUUUGUUGUACAUUUAAAUAACAACAUUUUAUGUGUGCAUGAACCAGAACUCCUGUCCUAGGUAGCAAAUGUACAGACUCAGAGAGAUGUGAGAUGGAGAGAUUUUCAUAGGAAGGAUAAGCACAUUCAUAUUUCAUGAGUACAAAUAAAAUUGCCAAGAGUCCACAUUCAGCAUUGUAUUCAGUUUCAUCUGUGUAAAAUGGUUAUUUCAUUUUAAAUGAAUGCAUUUUAUUAUGACACAUUCACAUGUAUGUUUAAUGUACUUUGCCAGUUUUUUUCCCAUUUGAAACCCACAUCUAUUGCUCGUCUUGCUACUCAUUUCAUUCCUCAGUUCAAACAGCCAUUCUCUUACCUUAUGACCUUUUUGUUUUGAUUAUGAGACAAGGGUCAUACUUUAUUGUGUAUUUUUCCAAACUGGCUUCACAUGGCACCCCAUCCCCAAUGGGUUACCCACUUGCUUCAUGUAAUAAUGUGUGAAUAUACACACACAUACAUACGUGCAUACAUUUAUUAACCUUUAUAUAUGAAAUCUUCCCUGCCUCUCAAGGAUAAAGCUUACAUGAUCAAGGAGGUUGAUAUUUUUGUUUGUUCUUGGGUUCACUUUGCAAAUAUUUUAUUGAGUAUAUUUGUACCAAGGUUGAUAAGAGAAGUCAAUCUAUAAAUCUCCAUCUUGGUUAGUUCUUUUUUUAUCUUGAAUAUCAUGGUGACUGUAGCCUCAUAAUCUGAACUGGGCAAUGUUUCUUCAGUUUCUAUUAUUUGGGACAAUAUGGGAAUAAUAGUAUUAUAAUUUUGAAAGACUCUAAGAAUUCUGUCAAAAAUUUAUUUGUUUCAGAUUUUGGGGGAGGUGCAGCAGUUGGGAGAAUUUUAAUGAGCUUUUGUAUUUCACUAUUGGUUAGAGUUCUCUGUAAACUGUUAUGCUGACAUUCUUUGAUUCUAGAAAGUAGUAUGUGGUGAGGAAAAUAUCCAUAUCUUCCAGAUUUCAAACUUCUGGUGUGCUGUUAAGUACUGUGAAAUCAUUCUUUCUUCUUCCUUUCUUUUUGUAUUCUUCUUUUUUAAUGAAGAGGUCUUUCUUUCUGUAGCCUGGAUUUUCUGGAACUAGUUAUGUGAACUAGUUUAACCUCUGCUGGAUAUGCAUCCCACAUACUGAAUUUAAAGGUUUGUGCCACAAUCACCCAGUUGAACUUGCCUCCUUCAAUGGAUACCAUUAUGCCCACCGAAUUUUUAUGCUGUGUAAUAAUGUUCACUUAAUUCUCAAAGUAUUUUUAUAUCUUUAUUUCUGUCUUGAACUCUUUUUUAUUUGGUAGAGAAUUAUUCAUUUUCCAUGUGUUUGUAUUCUUUCUGUUGUUAGUUUUGUUUACAUACGGUUGUACUGAAUUAUUACUGACAGGAUGCAGUGAGUUUUGUUUUCUUUUGCUUUUCAGUUUCCUUGUAUGUGUUGUGACUUGCUUUAUGUUUGAGUACUUGGUCAAUUAUUGAGAAUUUUUUAUGAGAAUUUGAUAAUAAUGUUUACUAUGUAUGAUUUUAGGAAAAAUAUCAUAAAUACAUGUUAGGCCCAUUUGGUUUACAAAGAUUGGUAACUCCAUUAUUUCUUGUUUAGUUUCUGUCUAAAUAAUCUGAGUAUUAGUGAAAGCUGAGUGUAGUGAUAGUUAACCUGUUUUGCUUCUGGUGAGUUGAACUUUCACAUCUGCCCAAGAGCAAUCUGGAUUCUUGAAUGAAAGACACACACACACACACACACACACACACACACACACACACACACACACACCAGUUAAUUUUUAUAUGCCUUUGCUUGCUGGGAACUUCUAAUCUGUCCCACAGCUAGCAAACACUCCCCUCUGGCAUCCCAGAUUUAACACACUUUGAAAUCUAUAUUUCUUCUCAUCUAGAACCACUUACCUGAAUUCUUAUAUGUCUGGUCCAUCUUAUACCCCACUCGUGGUGAUUCUGCUUCUAUACCUCGCUUCUCUCUUUCAAGCCCAGGAAUCCUCAAAUGCCCGUCUGUCUGUACUGCCCAGCCAUUGGCUGUUGGCAUCUUAUUUACCAAUGAAAGGCAACUGGGUUCAGGAUUCCUUGGUGUCUUAAGUGCAGACACUUUUGUAAGCAGUUUUGGUGACCAAAAUUAACAUUAUAAUGCAAGCACCAUUAAGCCAAACCUACUUCAACUGAGUAUUAAAGUCCACCAAUAACAGUGUGCGAGUAUAUGUGAAACUGUAGAAGCAUUUUUUGCAAACUUGUGUGCCCAACUUCAGAGGACACAGUCGAUAAGGUUUGAAAUGUCAUAUUAGGUUUUUAUCCUUUGAAAAGUGUGAAGUAUUCUUCCCUAUAUUUUCAGGUUAGGUCUGGUUUGCAAUCUACACUGUUAUAUAUUGGUGUGAAUGUACAAAUUUUCUUCCUAGGUUCAUUUGCUUAGAAAUCCUUUUUACAACACAUUAUCCUGAAGUAAUGUGAAUUUCUGACAGUGGGGUAUGUCCAUUGGACGCUUGAAAAGGUGGAUUCUAUUUUCACAUCCAUGCUGUUAGACUGUGUCUUUUUAUUAUAGAGAAAUUAAAAUCAUUGAUAUUGAGAGAUAUUAGUGACCAAUCAUUGUAGAUUUCUGUAAUUUUGUUUUUGUUAAUUUUGUUCUUGCUGGUGUUUUUGUGUUGUAUGAAAUUUUCCACCAUCUGGAUAGGUGUGUCUUCUUGCAGAAUUUUAGCAGAUCCUUUGUAUCUCCCAAGAAUUCAUACUGUUGACACCUAAGCUUUGAAGUAACCUGUUUUACAUUUUAUACACGUGUUAAGAUUUUUAUUGGAUAAAAAAUGUUCAAAUGUUAUUCCAUUUCCUAGUUUCCUGUCCAUAAGCCCUAUACCCCCACUUCUAUAAGGGUGUUUCUCUCCCCAUUCACCCCAACAUUCCCUAACACUGGGGUUCCAAACUGGGCAGGACCAAAUGCUUUCACCUUCCUUUGGUGCCCAACAAGGACAUCCUCUGUUACAUAUGCAGCUGAAGAAAUGGGUUGUUCCAUGUAUAGUCUUUGGAUAGUGGUUGAUCCCCUGGGAGCUCUGGUUGGUUGGCAUUGUUGUACUUAUAGGUUUGCAAGUCCCUUCAAGUCUUUCAAUCCUUUCUCUAAUUCCUCCAACAAGGGUUCUGUUCUCAUUUCAAUGUUUUGUUGCUAGCAUAAGCCUCUGUAUUUGACACGAUCCUGCUGUGUCUCUCAGGAGACAACUAUACCCAGAUCCUGUCAGCAAUCUUCUCUGCUCUAAAUUUAGCCUCUGUAUCACCUCCUAUGAACAUUUCUUUCCCCAUUUUAAGAAAGAGUAAAACUUCUGUACUUUGGUCAUCCUUCUUGAGAUUUAUGUAGUCUGUGGUAUCUCGGAUAAUUUGAUAUUUUCUGUUAAUAUCCACUGAUCAGUUAGUGUAUACCAUGUGUGUUUUCCUGUGAUUGGGUUAUCUCACUCAGGCUGAAAUAUUCUAGGAAAUCCAUUUGCCUAUGAAUUUAAUGAAGUCAUUGUUUUUGGUAGCUGAGUAGUAAUCCAUUGUGUAGAUGUACCAUAUUUUCUGUAUCUAUUCCUCUGUUGAAGGGCAUCUUAGAUCUUUCCAGCUUCUGGCUAUUAUAAAUAAGGCUGCUAUGAACAUAGUGGAUUAAGUAUCUUUGUUGUAUGUUGGAGCAUCUUUUGGGUAUAUACCCAAGAAUAAUAUAGUAUGUUCCUCAGGUCCAAAUUUCAGAAAAAACUCCAGAAUGAUUUCCAGAGUAGUUGUACCAGUUUGCAAUCCCACCAGCAAUUGAGGAGUGUUCCUCUUGAUCCACAUCCUUGCCAGCACCUGAGUUUUUGAUCUUAGCCAUUCUGACUGGAGUAAGUGGAAUCUCAGGGUUGUUUUGAUGUUCAUUUCCAUGAAGAUUAAGGAUGUUGAGCAUUUCUUUAGGUACUUAUCAGUCAUUUGAUAUUCCUCAGCUCAGAAUUCUUUGUUUAGUUCUGUACCUAAUUCUUAAUAGGGUUAUUUGGCUCUCUGGAGAUUCACUUCUUGGUUCAUUUGUAUAUUUUGAAUAUUAGCCCUCUAUCAGAUGUAGGAUUGGUAAAGAUCUUUUCCCAGUCUGUUGGUUACCUUUUUGUCAUAAUGACAGUGUCCUUUGCCUUACAUAAGCUUUGCAGCUGUAUGAGGUAACAUUUGUCAAUUCUUGAUCUUAGAACAUAAUCCAUUGGUAUUUUGAUCAGGAAACUUUCCCCUGUGCCCAUGUGAUCUAGAUUCUUCCCCAUUUUUUUCUAUUACUUUUAGUGAAUCUGGUUUGAUGUGGAGGUCUUUGAUCCACAUGAACUUGAGUUUCACAGAGGGUGAUAAUGCAUUGCUUUGCAUUCUUCUACAUGCUGACCUCCAGUUGAACCAGCAUCAUUUCCUGAAAAUGCUUUGUUUUUUGCAUUGGAUGGUUUCAAAUCCUUUGUCAAAGAUCAAGUUACCAUAGGGGUGUGGGUUAAUUUUUGGGUCUUCAGUUCUAUUCCAUUGGUCUGUCUGUCUGUCUCUGUAACAAUACCAUACAGUUUUUAUCACUAUUGCUCUGUACUACUGCUUGAGGUCAGUGAUUGUGAUUCUCCCAGAAAUUCUUUUGUAUAGUUUUGGCUAUCCUGGUUUUUUGUUAUUCCAAACAUAUUUGCAAAUUACUCUUUCUAACUCAGUGAAGAAUUGAGUAGGAAAUUUGAUGGGGAGUGCAUUGAAUCUGUAGAUUGAUUUUGAGAAAAUGGCCAUUUUUUUCCUAUAUUAAUCCUUCCAAUCCAUGAGCAUGGAAGGUUUUCCCAUCUUCUGAGAUCUUCAAUUUCUUUCUUCAGAGACUUGAAGUUCUUGUCAUACACAUAUUUCACCUGCUUUGUUAAAGUCACACCAACAUAUUUUAUAUUAUUUGGGACUAUUGUGAAGGGUCAGAAUUUCGUUCUCAGUCGGUUUGUCCUUUGAAUAGAGGAAGGCUUCGGAUUUGUUGGAAUUAAUUUUAUACCCAGCAACCUUGCUGAAGUUCUUUACCAGGUUUAGCAUUUCUCUGGUGGAACUUUUGGGGUCACUUAAGUAUACUAUCAUAUCAUCUGUAAAGAGUUAUAUUUUGACCUCUUCUUUUCUAUUAUAUCCUUUUGAGAUCAUUUCUCAGAUUGUUUGGCUAGGACUUUGAGUACCAUAUUGAAUAAGUAGAGAGACAGAGUGGGCAGCCCUGUCUAGUCCUUGAUUUUAGUAGGAUUGUUUCAUGUUUCUACCUGUUUAGUUUCAUGUUAGCUACUGGCUUGCUGUUUAUUGUUUUUAUGCUGUUUAGGUAUGGGCCGUGAAUUCCUGUUCUUUCCAGGACUUUUAUCAUGAAAGGAUGUUGAAGUUUGUCAAGGAUUUCUCAGCCUCUAAUGAAAUGACCAUGUAGUUUUUCACUUUGAAUUGAUUUAUAGAGUGGAUUAUGUUGAUGAAUUUCCAUAUAUUGAACCAUCCCUGCAUCCUUGGGAAGAAGCUUACUUGAUCAUGAUGGAUGAUCGUUUUGAUGUGCUCUUGGAUUCGGUUUAUGAGAAUAUAAUUGAGUAUUUUUGCACCAAUAUUCAUGAGGGAAAUUGGUCUGAAAUUCUCUUUCUUUGUUGGGCCAUUGUGUGGUUUAGGUAUAAUCAGUAUUGUGUCUUCAUAGACAGACUUGGGUAGUGCUCCGCCUGUUUUAUUUUGUGUAAUAUUUUGGAUAUUAUUCAUAUGAGGUCUUCUAUGAAGGUCUGAUAAAAUUCUGCACUAAACCCAUCUGCUUCUGGGCUUGAAGUAGUCUUUUUACACUGAGUCUUACUGAGAUCUUAUGUGGCUACUCUUUCAAGGAUUUCUCAGAGUUGGAAUAUUUUAGUCCAACUGAGGGGUUUGAGAGUCUAGGAGCUAUCCUGUGGCUGAGAGUUUCUUAGGUCAUGUGUCUUACAAGUUAACCCCUGGAUCGUACAGACGUUUUGUUUGUGAAGGAAUUAACUUGCCAAUUUUUGUGUAAAAAUAAAAAGAGUUUCACUGAGGCACUCCAGGGUUCUGUCCUUCAGAUCCUACUCACUCUGGUUGCUGAGAAGCCUAUAAUUACCAGGCAGUGACUCUCUUUCUUAGAAUGGUUAUUUAUAAAACCUCACAAAUUACAAGAGUGUCUACAGACAUUUCCAAGAAAAAAUGUCUUUGUAGGUAUUAGUACCUAACGUUUAGGAAUGAAGUUGAAGCAUGAAGAGGGGUGUUGAAUUGUUCAAAUAAGGAAGGAAUGCAGGGCAAGUGACCAGGUGUGGACUCCAUUUUCUCCCCCUGACCAUGUUGCCAGUAGAACAUUUAAAAAUAGAAAGUGAGGAAAGUCUACAUCAGAAGGUUUACUUCAAAGCUAAAAAUUAUAAUGGGAAGUUGGGAUGAGGAAAAUGGAAGGAAAGUUGAUGAUCAGUAUGUAGCCUACCUCUUUUUCUGCCCAUAGUUUCCUCAGUAUUCCAUAGGAGUAUCUAGGUCUUUUCAGUUGGUCAGGAUAAAGAAAAGGAUGUGGAGACAAAAUUGUGGAGAGGAAGACCUGUGCCACAUACUGAAGAAUUUGAACUGCAUUCAUGAUGCUGUUGAUUUGAUACAGAGCUGAGUAUAGGACCACAAAAUUGGUUUUUGGAGGAAAUGAAGGUGAAGUGAACAUCUGCAGUGAAUCUUUAUGCUUUUUGGCUGGACUGGCCUGUCUAUUCUCAGGGCAUUUCUACUGGUGUUAAAGGCUUUGAUAAAACAAUGACUAAGGAGAGAAUUUAACAAGUACAAUCUUAAAUCGUCUACUGGCAACAGGAUCAGGGGUAGAUAAUGAAGGCUAUACCUGGUUAUUUCUUGGUGAAGUUGGGAGGAGAUUAUGGACUUGGCUUGGUUCAGAAAAUACAGUUCCUCCCACCACAAGCAUACCAUUUUGAAACACACUGAGCAAAGUACAUUUGAUAUAUGUUCAUUAUUAAGGCUAAAACAUAGCCAUAAGAUGCAACUUAUAAACUGUUUGACAAACAUAGUCUUUAAAUGUUCUAUUUCAAAUAACUUUUUUGUAAUUAUCAGUUCAGAACUCUUUCCUACUGAUACAGAGCAUUGUUUUGAGCAUUGGGAAAACAUUUUUUGAGAAGUGAAGAAAUGACUAUUUAAAAUAUAGAGUACCACUGACCAACCAACACACAUGACUAAAUCACUAUCUACACUGUUGAAUCAAGGCUCUACCAGAGACCAUGCAGGCAACCAGAAAUUCAGGAAUGCCAUUACAAGCCUAACUCUCCUACUCUUCACUUUGGAGGUUCUCAUCCAGCUUAUCCCUAGUUAUCCAUAUUCUCUUCACAGUAUCCAAGUCUCCAACAGUGGCAUAGACUGGCUGUACUAACAGAGACCACAGUGGCCUCCAGAAUUUCUCAUAGGCUAUCAAACAAUGGACCUCCCAAACUGUCCCUGUGUCCACUUUACAAGUUCUAUCUCCUAUCCCUGCCAUAUCACACUCUGCUAAAUUCACAAAUCUCUGUGAGAGAUUCCCUGCUCUACCUGUAGGAGAUUCCAGGCUACCAGAGACAGUAUGGAGCACACCCAAAGUCCAGGCAGGAAGACUGGCCAGGUUCUUACUCCACUUUCUCAGUGCUCCCACCAUCACAUCUACAACCAAACACCUCCAUGUCUGUGUCAGCAUUUACAAGUUUUGAACUUGAAUGAAGAACCUAUUCUGUACAAGAGGCCAUGCCAGCCCUAAGAAAUCUGGCCUCCAACUAGAGUAGUGAUUGGCUAAACUACGAGAAGCCACACCAUUCAUAUGUCCAGAAAGAAAACGGAAUGGAAAGAACAAAACACCCAUAAAAAUUUAACUCAAAAGUGGUACCUACACCUAUAAUAACCACAACCCAAAUGCCUUGACACAAGUGUUAAAAAAAAAGAGAAAACUUCAAAAUUGGUCAAGGCAAAAUGUCAUAGCCUAAAAACCACACGCAUAGCACAAGCUCUUCAUAUUGUAUCAAUUUGAAGCACAAAGAAGAUAUUUAAACCAAUUUUAUAAAGACAAAUGAAUGAUAUCCCCAAAGGAAGAACAUAGAUACCUUAAAGAAACCUGCCUCCAUCUGGGCUCAGAACUGGGGCUGUCCCACAGCCCUUAGACCCAACCCUGCCCACAGAGAGCUGGUCUUCCAGGAGCACUCUUACUCCUAAGGACACACCCUGCAAGUAGGUGGACACUUUCUCUCCACAGACUAUUCAAAGAAAGGCACAGCAGGAGCAGGCAGGGCCCAGCAACCACAAAGCAGACUGAGACAAGACCCAUCCUGUCUCCAUCUGUGCCCUGAGCUGAAGCUGGCCCACAGUACUUCAGACACAAAUCCUGCCAACAGAGAGCUGGUCCUCCAAGAGUGGUAUCUCUCCUAAACCCAAAACUGGAUCCCCUCUUUUGCUCAACCGACUGUCAAAAGAGAGACCACCAGGACAACUCAGGACUCAGGAGCCAUAGGAGUCAAGUCAGAGACAGUAAAACCAGCUAACACCAGAGAUAACCAGAUGGUGAAAGGCAAUGCAAUACACUAAGCAGCAGAAACCAAGAUGACUUGGCAUCAUCAGAACCCAGGUCCCACAGCACAGCAAGCCCUGGAUAACCCAACAGCCUGUAAAAAGAAUAUUUUGACAUAAAAUUAAAACGCAUGAUAUGGUUAGAGAACUUUAAAAAGGAUAUAAAUUACUCCUUUAAGGAAAUACAGUGCAAUGAGACUUCUAAACAGAAUGUCCAUGUCUGCCCACAUCUGUGCUGAUCCCUGGUUCAAGGGAAAAGUGCACAGUACCUCUGGACACAGGGAUAAAGGAACAGUCAGAUGCCUAUUACUGUGGUUCUGGUCUGCACCCAGAAAUGAACUAAACCAGCCAAACAGCUCCCAUCACCCAAUACCCAUGGAGAAGAUAGCUCAAUCCAUAGAAGUGUGGAUACUCCUAAGAAGUCAGAGAAGACUACCCUCUGCCCACAUUGCAGACACAAGACAGAAUAGUCUAUUGACAACUGUGCCACCUGGGUGCAAGAACCUAAGAGCAAUCAGGGGCAGGACCCUUCUGAUUCCUGCCUGUGCCUAGAGCUGAAAGAUAGUCACCAGGAUUGCAUGCACACCUGAAAUCAGAGAAUGUGUGCUCAGAAAAGACUGAAAGAAAACAGGAAAACAGUUCUACAGGAAUGCUGACACAGAGGCCUACAGGAGAGUGUCAAUGCACUGUCAGAAACAGCAAGACAAGCAAACACUAGAGACAACCCAAUGGCUAGAGGCGAGCAUAGGGACCUAAGCAACAGAAACCAAGAGUAGGCAAUCAUCAGAGCCCAGUUCUCCCAACAAAGAAAAUCCUGGAUAUCCAAACACAUUGGAAAAGCAAGAUUUUGAUUUAAAAUCACAUUUUAUGAGCAUGAUGGAGGACUUUAAGAAGAACAUAAAGAACUCCCUUGGAGAAAUGCAGGGAAACAAAGAAAAACAAAUAUAACCCCUUAGAGAGGAAACACAAAAACCACUGAAAGAAUUACAGGAAAACACAGCUAAACCAAUAAAGGAAUUGUACAAAACUGUUCAGGAUUUCAAAAUGGAAAUAGAAACA
Rattus norvegicus (Norway rat) is the source of this 31339-nucleotide non-coding RNA. Lineage: Eukaryota; Metazoa; Chordata; Mammalia; Rodentia; Muridae. The record is from RefSeq and is a predicted model, not a curated record.